RNAcentral lists this ribosomal RNA (368 nucleotides) under uncultured organism. RNAcentral describes it as "bacterial SSU rRNA". It matches the Rfam family "Bacterial small subunit ribosomal RNA", at positions 526 to 896 of the family's 1533-position model. The record is from RNAcentral.
CGGAGGGUGCAAGCGUUAUCCGGAUUUACUGGGUUUAAAGGGUGUGUAGGCGGGUCUUUAAGUCAGUGGUGAAAUCUCCGAGCUCAACUUGGAAACUGCCAUUGAUACUAUUGAUCUUGAAUUCUGUUGAGGUUGGCGGAAUAUGUCAUGUAGCGGUGAAAUGCAUAGAUAUGACAUAGAACUCCGAUUGCGAAGGCAGCUAACUAAGCAGAUAUUGACGCUGAGGCACGAAAGCGUGGGGAUCAAACAGGAUUAGAUACCCUGGUAGUCCACGCCCUAAACGAUGAUUACUCGACAUACGCGAUACACAGUGUGUGUCUGAGCGAAAGCAUUAAGUAAUCCACCUGGGAAGUACGACCGCAAGGUUG